This 492-nucleotide ribosomal RNA is filed under the name uncultured bacterium. Its description in RNAcentral is "partial 16S ribosomal RNA". It matches the Rfam family "Bacterial small subunit ribosomal RNA", at positions 29 to 507 of the family's 1533-position model. The record is from RNAcentral.
AGUGAACGCUGGCGGUAGGCCUAACACAUGCAAGUCGAACGGCAGCACAGUAAGAGCUUGCUCUUACGGGUGGCGAGUGGCGGACGGGUGAGGAAUACAUCGGAAUCUACUUUUUCGUGGGGGAUAACGUAGGGAAACUUACGCUAAUACCGCAUACGACCUACGGGUGAAAGCAGGGGAUCUUCGGACCUUGCGCGAUUGAAUGAGCCGAUGUCGGAUUAGCUAGUUGGUGAGGUAAAGGCCCACCAAGGCAACGAUCCGUAGCCGACCUGAGAGGAUGAUCGGCCACACUGGAACUGAGACACGGUCCAGACUCCUGCGGGAGGCAGCAGUCGGGAAUCUUCCGCAAUGGGCGAAAGACUGACGGAGCAACGCCGCGUGAGUGAUGAAGGUCUUCGGAUCGUAAAACUCUGUUAUUAGGGAAGAACAUAUGUGUAAGUAACUGUGCACAUCUUGACGGUACCUAAUCAGAAAGCCACGGCUAACUACGUG